RNAcentral lists this ribosomal RNA (103 nucleotides) under Periophthalmus magnuspinnatus. Lineage: Eukaryota; Metazoa; Chordata; Actinopteri; Gobiiformes; Gobiidae. The record is from RNAcentral.
GGACCAGGUCAUACCUCCUUGUCUGUGGCCGUUCUCGUCUGAUCUCUGAAGCUAAGCAGGGUCUGGCCACUUGGAUGAGAGAUCACUGGGAAUAUCAGGUGCU